This is a non-coding RNA of Hydra vulgaris (swiftwater hydra), 365 nucleotides long. NCBI's taxonomy places the organism in Eukaryota, Metazoa, Cnidaria, Hydrozoa, Anthoathecata, Hydridae. The record is from RefSeq and is a predicted model, not a curated record.
UACAAUUGCAGUUGCUUAGCAAAAAAAUGUUAGUCGGAAAAAGCAAAAGUGGAUGGUGUGGUGCCAGUAAGAUGGUAUCGAUAUGAUCUAGUCUCAAUUAAGUUAGUCGUAGACUGUUUACUGUUUGACUCUGUCCCAAUCUAAUCUAGUGGGUUCAAAAUGAAAAGACCGCGCUAGAAACAUGAAGGUGUUAAAAGGAUCAGCUCUUUUUGAAUUAACAGUCAAAGUCGUAACUAGCUAGAAGUCGUAACCAGCUCGAAUGAAAGGAUUUCUCGACGUGAAAUUGUUAAUUUUAUUCAACAACGCCAAGAAACAGAGCUCUCUCAAGAAACAGAAAAGAAAGAGAAAGAUGAAAAAAUAUUCUG